UACUUUCAAAGACGUUGUUGAG
This 22-nucleotide microRNA is filed under the name Glycine max (soybean). RNAcentral's name for it is "gma-miR4374b". The record is from miRBase by way of RNAcentral. Lineage: Eukaryota; Viridiplantae; Streptophyta; Magnoliopsida; Fabales; Fabaceae.